RNAcentral lists this ribosomal RNA (468 nucleotides) under uncultured bacterium. Its description in RNAcentral is "partial 16S ribosomal RNA". It matches the Rfam family "Bacterial small subunit ribosomal RNA", at positions 28 to 507 of the family's 1533-position model. The record is from RNAcentral.
GACGAACGCUGGCGGCGUGCUUAACACAUGCAAGUCGAACGGAAAGGUCCUGCUUUGGUGGGGUGCUCGAGUGGCGAACUGGUGAGUAACACGUGAGUAACCUGUCCUUGACUUUGGGAUAACUUCAUGAAACUGGGGCUAAUACCGGAUAGGAGCUCCUGCUGCAUGGUGGGGGUUGGAAAGUUUCGGCGGUUGGGGAUGGACUCGCGGCUUAUCAGCUUGUUGGUGGGGUAGUGUCUUAGCAAGGCUUUGACGGGUAGCCGGCCUGAGAGGGUGACCGGCCACAUUGGAACUGAGAUACGGCACAGACUCCUACGGGAGGCAGCAGUGGGGAAUAUUGCACAAUGGGCGGAAGCCUGAUGCAGCAACGCCGCGUGCGGGAUGACGGCCUUCGGGUUGUAUACCGCUUUCGCCUGUGACGAAGCGUGAGUGACGGUAAUGGGUAAAGAAGCACCGGCUAACUACGUG